UACGUAGGGUGCAAGCGUUAAUCGGAAUUACUGGGCGUAAAGCGUGCGCAGGCGGCUUUGCAAGACAGAUGUGAAAUCCCCGGGCUUAACCUGGGAACUGCAUUUGUGACUGCAUGGCUGGAGUGCGGCAGAGGGGGAUGGAAUUCCGCGUGUAGCAGUGAAAUGCGUAGAUAUGCUGAGGAACACCGAUGGCGAAGGCAAUCCCCUGGGCCUGCACUGACGCUCAUGCACGAAAGCGUGGGGAGCAAACGGG
Molecule: ribosomal RNA, 253 nt
Filed under: uncultured bacterium
Lineage: Bacteria
Description: partial 16S ribosomal RNA
Rfam family: Bacterial small subunit ribosomal RNA
Source: RNAcentral